This is a long non-coding RNA of Cebus imitator (Panamanian white-faced capuchin), 295 nucleotides long. RefSeq lists it as uncharacterized. Lineage: Eukaryota; Metazoa; Chordata; Mammalia; Primates; Cebidae. The transcript has 2 exons. The record is from RefSeq and is a predicted model, not a curated record.
UAUUCUGCUGCUGGGUGAAGUCAUCUGUGUAUGUCUGAUUCUCCAAGCUUCCCGUGGCGCCACACCAGCUCCUGUCUUGGCACUUCGUGAGUCCAAGGCUGCUUCCAGAGAGGGUCUGGUUGGUAGACCAUGACAUUGAUUCCUGCCUCUAAGCCUAGCUUUAUUCUCAGCAGCCCCCACCUUUUUGGUGCUAGAAGAGUGCUUUUUCUAGUACACUCAUAAGUGGAUGCUGAAAUCACAACCUGGCCAUUUGGAUGUUCAACUACUGCUUUAUGCUGCGGAGUCCCUGGAACUC